AGAGUUUGAUCCUGGCUCAGGAUGAACGCUGGCGGCAGGCUUAAUACAUGCAAGUCGAACGGUAACGACCGGUAGCAAUACUGGGGCGACGAGUGGCGCACGGGUGCGUAACGCGUAUGCAACCUACCCUCAACCGGGGCAUAACGCCGAGAAAUUGGCGCUAAUAUCCCAUGUGUAUAUGGAGUGGCAUCUCUUCAUAUAUAAAGAUCCGUUGGUUAAGGAUGGGCAUGCGUAACAUUAGCUAGUUGGCGGGGUAACGGCCCACCAAGGCGACGAUGUUUAGGGGUUCUGAGAGGAUUCACCCCCACACUGGAACUGAGACACGGUCCAGACUCCUACGGGAGGCAGCAGUAGGGAAUAUUGGGCAAUGGAGGCAACUCUGACCCAGCCAUGCCGCGUGAAGGAAGACGGCCCUAUGGGUUGUAAACUUCUUUUGCCGCAGAGUAACCGCGGGGACGAGUCCCUGCCUGAGAGUAUGCGGCGAAUAAGUAUCGGCUAACUCCGUGCCAGCAGCCGCGGUAAUACGGAGGAUACGAGCGUUAUCCGGAUUUAUUGGGUUUAAAGGGUGCGCAGGCGGACCGUUAAGUCAGGGGUGAAAAGUUGGGGCUCAACUCCAAUCGUGCCUUUGAUACUGGCGGACUAGAGUGCAGGGGACGUGACUGGAAUGUGAUGUGUAGCGGUGAAAUGCUUAGAUAUGUCACAGAACGCCGAUUGUGAAGACAGGUCACGAAUCUGCAACUGACGCUCAUGCACGAAAGCGUGGGGAUCAAACAGGAUUAGAUACCCUGGUAGUCCACGCUGUAA
RNAcentral lists this ribosomal RNA (804 nucleotides) under uncultured bacterium. RNAcentral's name for it is "bacterial SSU rRNA". It matches the Rfam family "Bacterial small subunit ribosomal RNA", at positions 8 to 805 of the family's 1533-position model. The record is from RNAcentral.